This 1828-nucleotide long non-coding RNA is filed under the name Coturnix japonica (Japanese quail). RNAcentral describes it as "lncRNA (ENSCJPG00005003661.1)". The record is from RNAcentral. Lineage: Eukaryota; Metazoa; Chordata; Aves; Galliformes; Phasianidae.
UCUCCCCUGACACAGCUCCAUGCCAUUCCCUCAGGCCCUGUUGCUGUCACAGAGAGCAGAGCUCAGAGCUCCCUGUGAGGAGCUGCAGCCACCAUCAGGUCUCCCCUGAGCUCCUUUGCUCUGGGCUGAACAAACCCAGAGGCUGUAGCUGUUCCUUAUACAUCUGACCCUCAAGACCCUUCAUCACUUCAAACAUCAGGAUUUUGUGAAACCAGGAAUACAUAUUCAUGCUUUUUUUUUUUUUUUUUUUUUUUUUUUUUUUUUUUUUUUUUUUUUUCCUUCUUCUUUCUAAAAAAGACAGAAACCUGAAAGACUCCAGACGGGUAGACUGACCUCCCUAUAAGCUCUCUGAGCAGCAGUGGCAGGUCUGGGACUCAGUUCUCCUAUGUCACAGUAGCUUUUAAUCAUGUGAUUCAUCUUUCUGCAGGGAGAGCUGAUGUAAUCCUUACCCCUCUUAUGAAGCCUUGGCCUCUCUUCUCUUGGACAGAAUUGUUCUUUGGAAAGUAGAAUAGAUGAUGAAAGCUCAGUGGGGGAACACGAGGCAGUUACAAAGAGGCUGAAGUAAAAGAAAGUCAAGAAUAUGAACAAUUCGGAGCUGGUGCUUGUGAUGCCUGGAGAAAAGCACUUCAUGCAAAAGUUGCAGAGAACUUUUUGCUCUCCUCAUUAAUGUAUCGAAGAAGGAGAUUUUUACUCAAAGGAUGUGUACAAAGAAGUCAGGCUGCUUGUUCUGUGGAACCCAGAGUCAGAGGAACGGAUGAAGAAGAAAGAAGUGUGACCCUGUGUGUGUGUUUGGCUUCAUCUCCCCAUGGAUCAGGAGUUCAUUUAGAAAGUCAAGGCUCUGACAGCUUCAGUGGCUGCCACGGGUUCCUCUGGCUACCCCUGUCUGGGAUUUUGAGGCUUGAGUUUCUGCAAUUUAUAUUCACCACCAUAAAGUCAUUUACCACAGGUUCCCAGUGGUCCCUGGGAUGUCUUCACAAAGCACUGUAUGCUCUUCCUUUCCAUGAAGCUGAAGAAUCAGUUAGGAUGGAAAAGACUCAAAAGAUCAUCUGCCCAUAACCAACCUAACACUACCAUUUUCACCACUAGACCAUGUCCCUAAAAGGAUUUUCAGCUCAAAAUCAAUGUCACAAAAUUUAAUGCAUGUUCUUAUGGAGGAGGAAGCUGAUUUUAUUAUACAUAAGCCUUCAGCAGAGUAAUUGUGCCCCUCAGGCACUCACAGUCUUAGCUGUUAUAAUGUAUGUGUUCAGGUGGUCUGGCCAAAGUACAUGUGAAAUUGUAGGAUGAGGGAUUUUGCACCUCUUGGUUGUCUGUUGUCUGCUUACAACAAAACAAGUUAUGGACAAACCUUGUAUAUGCCAUAGGAAUCAUCAUCUGCAAUGAGGUAAUUCCUUGGCUUGUUUUUUGCUUACCUGUCAUAAGUCUUGGGUCAGGUUGCUGUCUCUAUUGACUUUUCCCUCAUUGGAAAUAUAUAUGCUUGAGACACAUAUCGGUGUUUUGUUUUGUUGUUUUUGUUGCUCCAAGACUAAAAAAAGAAUAUUAAAGAGUUAUACAUGAUAUGUUGCAUCCGUCUUGCCAUCUUGCUGCAGUGAAGAUUACAGAGUCUUCUGCUCAAGGGUAGUCUGGGCUGUAGGAUAUUGAGAGCACUGAUCUGGCAGAAACAACAUGCAUAAUAACUGUAAUGCAAUGUAUUGCUACUAAUUUCUGCACUGAUUUAUGAGCACUGUCACAGCUCUUCACGGAUAGCCUGUAAGCCUGAGAGGCGUCUCUGAGGUGAGAUGCUGCUAGUAUGAAAGAAGAAAAUAAAUCUCUGCUGCACUCUCUGGUUGCA